This 649-nucleotide ribosomal RNA is filed under the name Puccinia caricis-hebeiensis. RNAcentral describes it as "Puccinia sp. JXJ-2020j partial large subunit ribosomal RNA". It matches the Rfam family "Eukaryotic large subunit ribosomal RNA", at positions 43 to 664 of the family's 3401-position model. The record is from RNAcentral. Lineage: Eukaryota; Fungi; Basidiomycota; Pucciniomycetes; Pucciniales; Pucciniaceae.
UUACCCCAAAGCGGAAAAGAAACUAACAAGGAUUCCCCUAGUAAUGGCGAAUGAAGAGGGAAAAGCCCAAAUUUGUAAUCUGGCUCUUUCAGAGUCCGAGUUGUAAUUUUAAGAACUGUUUUCAGUGCUGGACCAUGUACAAGUCUGUUGAAAAGCAGCAUCAUAGAAGGUGAUAAUCCUGUUCAUGAUAUGGACUACCAGUGCAAUACGAUACAGUCUCUAAGAGUCGAGUUGUUUGGGAAUGCAGCUCAAAGUGGGUGGUAAAUUCCAUCUAAGGCUAAAUAUUGAUGAGAGACCGAUAGCAAACAAGUACCGUGAGGGAAAGAUGAAAAGAACUUUGGAAAGAGAGUUAACAGUACGUGAAAUUGUUAAAAGGGAAACAAUUGAAGUUAGACUUGUUAUUAUUAGUUCAACCUUUUUUAAAGGAGUAUUCUAAUGAUUAACAGACCAACAUCAAUUUUUGGGUGUUGGAUAAGGGUUUAAGGAAAUGUAGCAGUCUCUGGCUGUGUUAUAGUCCUGAGCUUUGAUACAAUGCUUAAGAUUGAGGAAUGCAGUAAGCCUUUUUUUUGAGGUGGAACAAAUUAGUGUUCUUCUUACUGAGGAUGUUGGUGCAAUAGCUUUAAAUGACCCGUCUUGAAACACGGGACCA